UGCAUGUCUAAGUUCACACUGUNUCACGGUGAAACCGCGAAUGGCUCAUUAAAUCAGUCGAUGUUUAUUAGAUGAAAACUAUCCUACUUGGAUAACUGUGGCAAUUCUAGAGCUAAUACAUGCUUACCAAGCUCCGACCCUCGUGGAAAGAGCGCUUUUAUUAGUUCAAAACCAAUCGUCGUACCCUUCGCGGGGUGCGGCGUCCCGAUUGGUGACUCUGGAUAACUUUGUGCUGAUCGCAUGGCCUUGUGCUGGCGACGCAUCUUUCAAAUGUCUGCCCUAUCAAAUGUCGAUGGUACGUGAUAUGCCUACCAUGUUUGUAACGGGUAACGGGGAAUCAGGGUUCGAUUCCGGAGAGGGAGCAUGAGAAACGGCUACCACAUCCAAGGAAGGCAGCAGGCGCGCAACUUACCCACUCCCGGCACGGGGAGGUAGACGAAAAAUAACAAUACGGGACUCUUUCGAGGCCCCGUAAUUGGAAUGAGUACACUUUAAACCCUUUAACGAGGAUCAAUUGGAGGGCAAGUCUGGUGCCAGCAGCCGCGGUAAUUCCAGCUCCAAUAGCGUAUAUUAAAGUUGUUGCAGUUAAAAAGCUCGUAGUUGGAUCUCAGGCGCAGGCGGGCGGUCCGGCUCGCGCCGGCUCACUGCCCGUUGUCUCCUGCCCUACCCGUCUGCCGGCUCUCUCCCGUGGGUGCUCUUCACUGAGCGUCCCGGGUGGCCGGCGCGUUUACUUUGAAAAAAUUAGAGUGUUCAAAGCAGGCCGAGCUGCCUGAAUAAUGGUGCAUGGAAUAAUGGAAUAGGACCUCGGUUCUAUUUUGUUGGUUUUCGGAACUGGAGGUAAUGAUUAACAGGGACAAACGGGGGCAUUCGUAUUGCGGCGUUAGAGGUGAAAUUCUUGGAUCGCCGCAAGACGAACUACUGCGAAAGCAUUUGUCAAGAAUGUUUUCAUUAGUCAAGAACGAAAGUCAGAGGCGCGAAGACGAUCAGAUACCGUCGUAGUUCUGACCAUAAACUAUGCCACCUGGCCAUCCGCAGGAGUUGCUUCGAUGACUCUGCGGGCGGCCUCCGGGAAACCAAAGGUUUUGGGUUCC
This 1091-nucleotide ribosomal RNA is filed under the name Menetus dilatatus. Its description in RNAcentral is "SSU rRNA". It matches the Rfam family "Eukaryotic small subunit ribosomal RNA", at positions 52 to 1115 of the family's 1831-position model. Lineage: Eukaryota; Metazoa; Mollusca; Gastropoda; Planorbidae. The record is from RNAcentral.